RNAcentral lists this long non-coding RNA (3245 nucleotides) under Olea europaea (common olive). Its description in RNAcentral is "long non-coding RNA (OEUR_LNC015195)". The record is from RNAcentral. Lineage: Eukaryota; Viridiplantae; Streptophyta; Magnoliopsida; Lamiales; Oleaceae.
AUUCUUGUUUGGGUGUUACAUAUGAUUGAGAUGUCGGGUUACUAUUUUCUGGAUUCUGCUUCAGCAAGAUAUCACCUGGUUCUUUCUCACGCAUUGGGCAGAGAGAGUUUUCUAUUUGACUAGAUUGUAACAAUUGAAUGCCAGUAGGUUGGUUUUGUCUCUGCUGCACGUCGCUAGACAUUUUCUCUCAAAUUGGGGAUGGGGGUGCACCCUUCUCUUGAUAAGACUGCUGUAUCUGACUUCAACUUAGUGUUCAGUCUCUUCUGCAGUUUGUCUGACACUCAUGAAGCACUCCAGAUAUAUAGCAAUCUUUCAAAUUGAACUCUACUUCAUGAAAUCCAUUGUCAGGAUCCUGUUUCUACUGCAAUUUUGGAAUAAACACCAUCGAACAAUGUCUUCCUUGUGUACCGAGAGAGACAGUAAAAAGGAAAAAAAUACUGUCAAUACAUCCGUAAAAAAUGAUCUCCAUGCUUCAAAAUGAUAGUCAAAAGGAAAACAAUGAAGCCAAAACGCAUGUCAACAUGAAUUAAUCCACAAUAUUACUGGUCAUUGAAUCUACUUAAUCCUAAGAGAAACAGGAGGUGAGGAUUGAUCUCCAAAGCUAACAAACUACUGGACAUUGCAAUAAUUCUAUUUUUUUAUGACCGUGAUUGUUCGGACCGGCUUACGCACACCUCGACCAAUCCCCUGAGGCCCUAAAGUUUACACUCAGGUACUCACCUCAGUAGCUCUGAGGGGACUUGAAAUAUUGCAAUAAUUCUAAUGAUAGGAGAUAUUCAAUAGUCAGGUAAUUACGUGAAAACAAGCAAAAAAUUAUUGAAUUUUUUUUCAUGGAAAAUGGGGAAAAUUGUCUAUCAUUAAACCAACAUCGGAAAAGUAGGGAUGGCAAUGGGGCCAGGCUGGGUGACCUAGUCCGAACUGGAUCAGUAUUUCCUGCUUAACCAGGUCAGCGGGGCAAGACAGGGCAAGAAAAUUUUCCCUGGGCCGGGGAGAAGGAUCAUGGUCCCCACCCCGUUUAACUUUUAUUUUAUAAAAAAAUUACCCAACACAGAAACAAAGAGGAUUAAAUCAGUAAGUCACCAAGGAACGUAUUGAGGAAACCAAUUUUCAAAUUUGUCAAAACCUAAGCAGACUCUCACAUUGCACCUAAUCUGUAAUCUCACUCUCAGAAUCUCGCAAACACAAUCAGCUCAGACGACCACCACUCUCCUCUCUUUUCCAGCCCAUCUCUCUCAUAUUUAUUUAUAAAAUGUUUUUAGAUCAACAAGCUCCCCAUAAGAACUAGCUCUUUCUUUUUCUGUCUGAAAUUCAGCACUAUUUGUCUUGCAAAAAGUGUGGUCCGUCCAGUGUGUUUAUAAGGGAUUGUUUCAAUUGUUUUGUGAGCUUAAUCAAGUUUAUGUUUAAUGCCCAGUUGCUAUUUUCAGUUUUCUUGCGUACCUAGUUGUUCCCAGAUUGUGCUUUAUUCAUACUUAGAGUAAUUCUUGAUAGUAAGUUUCUUUCAGGUACAAAGAUAUAACUUCUUGCAGUUAGUGUAUGUGUUAUGAAUUAAAAUCAUAUUUAAAACAAAAUAAAAUAUAAACACGGUGCCAAAUGGGGAAUGGAGGACCUCAACCCAGUCCAGCCCAGCCCUGUCCCUACCUAAGCAGGGAUGGGGAAGAGAAAUCCCCUGGCAGGCUAGGGGACGUGGAGGGCAUCCCUGGCCCUGCUCUUCCUCAUUACCAUUCCUGUCGGAAGUACAAAAAUCAAAAGAAGCACUAUAAACGCCUUGGCAGAAUAUUCACAUUUUAAGUAGAUAUAGACAAUAUAUGAAUGCAUAGCCUGUCUAAGGCUAGAAAGGAGAGAGGGGGGUGGGGGGGUGAAAUGAAAUAGUAAGGGAAGAGAAAACGUCACCGCAACAGAAGUACUGAUAAAGCGUAUAACUAGCUGGUUAUAUUUUAUAUAACAAGGAGGAAACUGAAGUAACAAAGGGUUAACAAUUAUGCUCUAGAGAGAUGAACUGCAAAUUAAUUAAGAGACCAAGAAGUGACAGCAUUUUAAUUCAAUGUAAUCCAAUAAUGUCAGAAACUAAACCCAAUUACUACUCUGCAAAAAAUUUAGAUCAUAUUCUAUACUAUUAUGUAUAUGGAAGGCAUAAAAACUUAAAAGUUAUCAACAUUCAUAGAGGUUGUACAAGCCAUAGUGCAUAAAAAUUGGAUUUUUCUCAGUGAUGUCUUCUAGAAUGAGAUCAAGUGAAUAAGAGAGAAGUAGAACAAUUACGAAGGCAGAGCUUCUAGUGUGACCAUCAAUGUAAAUAAACACUAACGGGAAAAGGUGGUAAGCUAAUUUCCAUUUUCAAUAGAAAUCAUUUGAUUCUUGUUUGGGUGUUACAUAUGAUUGAGAUGUCGGGUUACUAUUUUCUGGAUUCUGCUUCAGCAAGAUAUCACCUGGUUCUUUCUCACGCAUUGGGCAGAGAGAGUUUUCUAUUUGACUAGAUUGUAACAAUUGAAUGCCAGUAGGUUGGUUUUGUCUCUGCUGCACGUCGCUAGACAUUUCAUAAACCCUAGCCAUAGCUGGUUCACCUUUCAAUUCCAAACAGCAGGAGAAAUAACCAGAAAAUCAUAAACCCAACUGAAAACAGAAAAACCCUGAACAGAGAAAUCAAUUACCUUACCUUUUUCCAAUUCUGGACAAUUUUAGAAUAAUCAGAGGUUGUAACAAUUGAAUGCCAGUAGGUUGGUUUUGUCUCUGCUGCACGUCGCUAGACAUUUUCUCUCAAAUUGGGGAUGGGGGUGCACCCUUCUCUUGAUAAGACUGCUGUAUCUGACUUCAACUUAGUGUUCAGUCUCUUCUGCAGUUUGUCUGGCACUCAUGAAGCACUCCAGAUAUAUAGCAAUCUUUGAACUCUACUUCAUGAAAUCCAUUGUCAGGAUCCUGUUUCUACUGCAAUUUUGGAAUAAACACCAUCGAACAAUGUCUUCCUUGUGUACCGAGAGAGACAGUAAAAAGGAAAAAAAUACUGUCAAUACAUCCGUAAAAAAUGAUCUCCAUGCUUCAAAAUGAUAGUCAAAAGGAAAACAAUGAAGCCAAAACGCAUGUCAACAUGAAUUAAUCCACAAUAUUACUGGUCAUUGAAUCUACUUAAUCCUAAGAGAAACAGGAGGUGAGGAUUGAUCUCCAAAGCUAACAAACUACUGGACAUUGCAAUAAUUCUAUUUUUUUAUGACCGUGAUUGUUCGGACCGGCUUACGCACACCUCGACCAAUCCC